GUGAGGAAUUUUGCGCAAUGGGGGAAACCCUGACGCAGCAACGCCGCGUGAGUGAUGAAGGCCUUCGGGUCGUAAAGCUCUGUCAAGUGGGAAGAAACUGCCUUGUGAUAAUACCAUGGGGCAUUGACGGUACCACUGAAGGAAGCACCGGCUAACUCCGUGCCAGCAGCCGCGGUAAUACGGGGGGUGCAAGCGUUAUUCGGAAUCAUUGGGCGUAAAGGGCGCGUAGGCGGUUGCUUAAGUCAGAUGUGAAAGCCCUUGGCUUAACUGAGGAAGUGCAUUUGAUACUAAGCAACUUGAGUAUGGGAGAGGGAAGCGGAAUUCCUGGUGUAGCGGUGAAAUGCGUAGAUAUCAGGAGGAACACCGGUGGCGAAGGCGGCUUCCUGGACCAAUACUGACGCUGAGGCGCGAAGGCGUGGGGAGCAAACAGGAUUAGAUACCCUGGUAGUCC
This 451-nucleotide ribosomal RNA is filed under the name uncultured bacterium. Its description in RNAcentral is "bacterial SSU rRNA". It matches the Rfam family "Bacterial small subunit ribosomal RNA", at positions 354 to 796 of the family's 1533-position model. The record is from RNAcentral.